This 507-nucleotide ribosomal RNA is filed under the name uncultured bacterium. RNAcentral describes it as "partial 16S ribosomal RNA". It matches the Rfam family "Bacterial small subunit ribosomal RNA", at positions 29 to 523 of the family's 1533-position model. The record is from RNAcentral.
AGUGAACGCUGGCGGUAGGCCUAACACAUGCAAGUCGAACGGCAGCACAGGAGAGCUUGCUCUCUGGGUGGCGAGUGGCGGACGGGUGAGGAAUACAUCGGAAUCUACUUUUUCGUGGGGGAUAACGUAGGGAACCUUACGCUAAUACCGCAUACGACCUACGGGUGAAAGCAGGGGACCUUCGGGCCUUGCGCGAUUGAAUGAGCCGAUGUCGGAUUAGCUAGUUGGCGGGGAAAAGGCCCACUAAGGCGACGAUCCGUAGUUGGCUCUGAGAGAAUGAUCCGCCACACUGGAACUGAGACACGGUACAGACUCCUACGGGAGGCAGCAGUGGGGAAUAUUGGACAAUGGGCGCAAGCCUGAUCCAGCCAUACCGCGUGGGUGAAGAAGGCCUUCGGGUUGUAAAGCCCUUUUGUUGGGAAAGAAAUCCAGCUGGCUAAUACCCGGUUGGGAUGACGGUACCCAAAGAAUAAGCACCGGCUAACUUCGUGCCAGCCGCCGCCGUAA